RNAcentral lists this long non-coding RNA (236 nucleotides) under Capsicum annuum. RNAcentral's name for it is "long non-coding RNA (CANN_LNC008027)". Lineage: Eukaryota; Viridiplantae; Streptophyta; Magnoliopsida; Solanales; Solanaceae. The record is from RNAcentral.
UUUGGGACUGACUCUGAAGUUGAUGGCUAUAUAUAGAGUUACAAAAGAAAGAGAAGCUCCAGGGUCUAGUAAUGCAUAAACAUGUAAGUGAAAGACUUUUAAUGUACCAGUAACUACGUUAGGAGAAAUUUUUUGAUCUUGGCGGGAUUGAAGAGUAUAUAAUCAUUUCAGACGCUGACCACUGGUUUCACUAGAAGCGGAACCCUACUGAGUCGGGCGAACGGAUAGAACUGACA